GAUGAACGCUGGCGGCGUGCUUAACACAUGCAAGUCGAACGAUGAAGCCCAGCUUGCUGGGUGGAUUAGUGGCGAACGGGUGAGUAACACGUGAGUAACCUGCCCUUAACUCUGGGAUAAGCCUGGGAAACUGGGUCUAAUACCGGAUAGGAGCGCCUACCGCAUGGUGGGUGUUGGAAAGAUCUAUCGGUUUUGGAUGGACUCGCGGCCUAUCAGCUUGUUGGUGAGGUAUUGGCUCACCAAGGCGACGACGGGUAGCCGGCCUGAGAGGGUGACCGGCCACACUGGUACUGAGACACGGCCCAGACGCCUACGGGAGGCAGCAGUGGGGAAUAUUGCACAAUGGGCGAAAGCCUGAUACAGCGACGCCGCGUGAGGGAUGACGGCCUUCGGGUUGUAAACCUCUUUCAGUAGGGAAGAAGCGAAAGUGACGGUACCUACAGAGGAAGCACCGGCUAACUACGUG
RNAcentral lists this ribosomal RNA (466 nucleotides) under uncultured bacterium. RNAcentral's name for it is "partial 16S ribosomal RNA". It matches the Rfam family "Bacterial small subunit ribosomal RNA", at positions 28 to 507 of the family's 1533-position model. The record is from RNAcentral.